GGUUGGGAGAGCUAUAUUGUUGGUUCGUUGGAUGAUUUGAUCAUCCACCCGGCUG
RNAcentral lists this non-coding RNA (55 nucleotides) under unclassified sequences. RNAcentral's name for it is "DUF3800-VI RNA". It matches the Rfam family "DUF3800-VI RNA". From Rfam's summary of the family: Actinobacteria, Planctomycetes, Proteobacteria, Spirochaetes. Nearby to DUF3800 The record is from RNAcentral.